This 301-nucleotide ribosomal RNA is filed under the name uncultured bacterium. Its description in RNAcentral is "partial 16S ribosomal RNA". It matches the Rfam family "Bacterial small subunit ribosomal RNA", at positions 509 to 807 of the family's 1533-position model. The record is from RNAcentral.
CAGCAGCCGCGGUAAUACGAAGGGUGCAAGCGUUACUCGGAAUUACUGGGCGUAAAGCGUGCGUAGGUGGUGGUUUAAGUCCGUUGUGAAAGCCCUGGGCUCAACCUGGGAAUUGCAGUGGAUACUGGGUCACUAGAGUGUGGUAGAGGAUAGUGGAAUUUCAGGUGUAGCAGUGAAAUGCGUAGAGAUCGGAAGGAACAUCUGUGGCGAAGGCGACUAUCUGGGCCAACACUGACACUGAGGCACGAAAGCGUGGGGAGCAAACAGGAUUAGAUACCCCGGUAGUCCCUGUCUCUUAUAC